AGAACGAACGCUGGCGGCAUGCCUAAUACAUGCAAGUCGAACGAACUCUUCGGAGUUAGUGGCGCACGGGUGCGUAACGCGUGGGAAUCUGCCCCUUGGUUCGGAAUAACAGUUGGAAACGACUGCUAAUACCGGAUGAUGACGAAAGUCCAAAGAUUUAUCGCCAAGGGAUGAGCCCGCGUAGGAUUAGCUAGUUGGUGAGGUAAAGGCUCACCAAGGCAACGAUCCUUAGCUGGUCUGAGAGGAUGAUCAGCCACACUGGGACUGAGACACGGCCCAGACUCCGUACGGGAGCAGCAAGGUAGGGAAUAUAGGACAAGUGGGACGAAAGCCUGAUCCAGCAAUCGCCGCGGUGAGUGAUAGGAAGUCCGUUUAAGGUAGUAAAGUCCUUACCUUUUAACCGGAGUAUAGAAUUAAGUGACAGUUAGACGGA
Molecule: ribosomal RNA, 433 nt
Filed under: uncultured soil bacterium
Lineage: Bacteria
Description: bacterial SSU rRNA
Rfam family: Bacterial small subunit ribosomal RNA
Source: RNAcentral